GAGGAGCUCUAGGCGUUUGCCCAGCGUGAGGAGGCGAUCAGGUCAGUCCGGGACCCAGGCUUCAGCAGCAUUUUCAGGGCCUGUAACCUCCAGGGGGCACUGUCUCUGGUCCAGGAGCAGGAGAGCUCUGUCUCGCCAUCUGCUCCUUCUCCAACCCCCCCCUGCCAGGCCUCAAACACGCUCUAACAAUGGUAAUGAACAUGGAGGUCUGGUGUGUGUGUGGUUCAUAUGUAAAGACGUGAGAGUCUGAAUUGUAUGUACUAAAGAUGGUAUCGAUAGCCUGUGUGUGUAGCUGUUUUGUGUUAUCCAUGUGUCAGAGGGUGGGUUUUGUGAAUUGCUUGAUUGUGUGUAAGUGUUUGGUUGUCCCUGCAGUGUGUACAUACCCUCUGCUGCCUGCUGAGACGGCCUGGCUGCUCGCCACCUGCUCCGUCUUCCUCUAUCCAGAGCUCCUGCCCCACUGCAGCCUGGACACCGCACCCUCCAUGCACCAAGAACAACUUCUACACACGCGGAGAGGACAGACUCAUUGUACUGGGGCUGAAGGACUUCAGCCAGACAGAGCUCCCCUACCAGCUCAUGUGUCGCUACCUCAUCCGUACCAAGCAGGACCAGCUACGCUCCUGUGUCAAGGAGCUGUGUGGCCACAAGGCAUCUGACAACGCUAUCAAGUUGUACUGUCAGCACAACAUAGUUCCUGCCAUGUAGGAGACCUGUGGCAGGCUGAUGCCAGGGGAAGAGCGCCCCCCAGUGGGGAGAGAUGUCCAUCAUGCCCAACUGGCUACGGCCAAAACCCCUCCAGAUGUUCCUGGACCUAUCCCCUUGCAAGGUGUCAUCCUAUUGGCCAAGGCCCCAAGCACUACAAUCCGAAGGGCCCUGCCAUUUUCCCAGGCUCCUGUCACUCCUGCCCAUGGAGCAGUGCCAUUGGUCCAGGUCUUACCCUCCAUCCCGAUGGGAACCCCCUCUCUCUGGUCAGGGCGUGGUCACAGCGUGUGUGAUGCAAACAAGGUCUAAUCAAACAGAGAAAAAAACACACCCCCGGGCACCGUUUUGCAAACUGCUGCCCAUCCAGCCGGCUACCCCAAAGCCAUCACCCCCAAGCCCCCGUGUUUGCUCUUCCAGCAGAGAAUGGUGGUACUCCCUCAUUGGUCACUAACUCUGCCCGUCGUGCCUGUGCUGCUCCGAGAUUGGCCAAGCGGCCCUCACGCUCCACCACUUCCCACCAGGACACUCAGACUGGUGGGAAGGGGUGGACCAGAGUAGCUCUCGCCCAUACUCUGCCCAGGCCCCUCCUGCCUGCCCCACCCAGCUUGUAAGUUUCCCAGAAGUAUCCCCCCACACCCCCGGAUAGCAGGCUCCAGAUCAAGUCUAGCCCUGUGUUCUUCUCUCACACGCCCUAUGAACCCUUCCCUGGACAAUCAGAACAGCGACCUGGGGCAACCAAUCCAUGCAGAGGUCAAAGAUGAAGUUGGGUUUGACCCAUCCUUAACCUACUCCCAAAACCUGGAUACACUCCGAACGCUACAAAUACAGACGCUUUCACACUCCAGUCUAGCAGCUCCCAUGCUAUUAUGUCUCCGUCAAUCAUCCAGAGUCUCUCAGCCCCUAAGAAUGACCCGUAUGUACUGGUACAAACUGUGACCCAUGGUUCUACACAAAUGCUCUGGGUGCCCAAAAACUGCCUGGUCUCAAAUGGGUCCGUGUCAUCCAAUGCUUCAGAGAAUGGGUUUCACUGGUCUGAAAGCCUCCCUUUUGGUCUGUCGCCUGCACCCCAACACAAUAUUAUUGGGUUAACAAAUGGCAUACCUUCCUGCCACUCACCACUUUACCUAAUGGCAGAAUGGGCUACCAGCAGGCACUGAGUGUCCGGUUGCCCAGCAACAGUGUUCUGACCAGUGGAGAUGCGUCCGGGCAGAGUUUAGAGGAGCAGCUCCACCGAUUGGUGGAAGGAUUACGGGAAGAGGAGGAGCUGGAAGAGAAGGAGGGUCCUCUCCUGACACUUUAAGUCGCCCUCUGGGAGCCCCUGCUCCAGCCUGGAAAGCCAUGCUGACGCCCUGGAGAGAAUGAUGGUUGGUGAGAUGGAGGAUGGGGUGGAGAAGAACAGGAUAGGGGGAGAAGAAGAGAGCUGGGGCUAGAGAGGUGGUGCAUGGCAGCUACAUCAACGCACAUACCUGACAUACCUCCUGAGGGAAAUCGUGGUGAAGAGGAUGAGAGAAGGGAAGAAGAGGAGGAAGAUUGUGGUGUGCAUGGCAUGGGCAUGCUGAGUGGAAGGACUGGAGCACAGGAACAAACUGGAGGAGGAGAGAAGAAUGAUGGAGAAAAAGGUGACCAAAGAGAAGGAGACAGUGGAGGAGAGAAACGGAGAGCAGGGUGGAGAGGGAAGAAGGAGAAAGAGAUGGACGACAGAAUGGAGGAGGAGAGAAGGAUGGAGAGAAAGACGGUGAUGGAGAGCAGGAGAGGCAAGGGGAGGAGGAGAACUUUGAUGAC
RNAcentral lists this long non-coding RNA (2484 nucleotides) under Salmo trutta (river trout). Its description in RNAcentral is "lncRNA (ENSSTUG00000038972.1)". Lineage: Eukaryota; Metazoa; Chordata; Actinopteri; Salmoniformes; Salmonidae. The record is from RNAcentral.